RNAcentral lists this ribosomal RNA (274 nucleotides) under uncultured bacterium. Its description in RNAcentral is "partial 16S ribosomal RNA". It matches the Rfam family "Bacterial small subunit ribosomal RNA", at positions 523 to 796 of the family's 1533-position model. The record is from RNAcentral.
AGACGAACCGGACAAACGUUAUUCGGAAUUAUUGGGUUUAAAGGGUGCGUAGGCGGCACGAGCAGUUGGGUGUGAAAUCCCUUGGCUCAACCAAGGAACUGCGCCCAAUACUGUCGUGCUCGAGGGAGACAGAGGCGAGCGGAACUGAUGGUGGAGCGGUGAAAUGCGUUGAUAUCAUCAGGAACACCAGUGGCGAAAGCGGCUCGCUGGGUCUCUUCUGACGCUGAGGCACGAAAGCUAGGGUAGCGAACAGGAUUAGAAACCCGGGUAGUCC